RNAcentral lists this ribosomal RNA (505 nucleotides) under uncultured bacterium. RNAcentral's name for it is "partial 16S ribosomal RNA". It matches the Rfam family "Bacterial small subunit ribosomal RNA", at positions 28 to 507 of the family's 1533-position model. The record is from RNAcentral.
GACGAACGCUGGCGGCGUGCCUAAUACAUGCAAGUAGAACGCACAGUUUAUACCGUAGCUUGCUACACCAUAGACUGUGAGUUGCGAACGGGUGAGUAACGCGUAGGUAACCUGCCUGGUAGCGGGGGAUAACUAUUGGAAACGAUAGCUAAUACCGCAUAAUAUUAAUUAUUGCAUGAUAAUUAAUUGAAAGGUGCAAUUGCACCACUACCAGAUGGACCUGCGUUGUAUUAGCUAGUAGGUGAGGUAACGGCUCACCUAGGCGACGAUACAUAGCCGAACUGAGAGGGUGUGCGGCCACACUGGGACUGAGACGCAGCCCAGACUCCUACGGGAGGCAGCAGUAGGGAAUCUUCGGCAAUGGACGAAAGUCUUACCGAGCAACGCCGCGUGAGUGAAGAAGGUUUUCGGAUCGUAAAGCUCUGUUGUAAGAGAAGAACGGGUGUGAGAGUGGAAAGUUCACACUGUGACGGUAUCUUACCAGAAAGGGACGGCUAACUACGUG